GUGGGGAAUAUUGGGCAAUGGGGGAAACCCUGACCCAGCAACGCCGCGUGAGGGAAGAAGGCUUUCGGGUCGUAAACCUCUGUCCCAUGGGAAGAGGAGAAGACGGUACCAUGGGAGGAAGCCCCGGCUAACUACGUGCCAGCAGCCGCGGUAAUACGUAGGGGGCGAGCGUUGUCCGGAAUGACUGGGCGUAAAGGGCGCGUAGGCGGCCAGACAAGUCUGGAGUGAAAGUCCCGCUUUCAAGGUGGGAAUGGCUUUGGAAACUGUCUGGCUUGAGUGUGGGAGAGGAUAGCGGAAUUCCCGGUGUAGCGGUGAAAUGCGUAGAUAUUAGGAGGAACACCAGUGGCGAAGGCGGCUUUCUGGACUGUAACUGACACUGAGGCACGAAAGCGUGGGGAGCAAACAGGAUUAGAAACCCUGGUAGUCC
This 427-nucleotide ribosomal RNA is filed under the name uncultured bacterium. RNAcentral's name for it is "partial 16S ribosomal RNA". It matches the Rfam family "Bacterial small subunit ribosomal RNA", at positions 354 to 796 of the family's 1533-position model. The record is from RNAcentral.